UCUGGUGAUGAUGCUCUUAAUGGAUACACCCGUUCCCAUACCGAACACGAAGGUUAAGCAUUAAGAGGCCGAUAGUACUGCACGGGAAGCUGUGUGGGAGGGUAGGUGGUUGCCAGGU
This 118-nucleotide ribosomal RNA is filed under the name Clostridium culturomicium. The record is from RNAcentral. Lineage: Bacteria; Bacillati; Bacillota; Clostridia; Eubacteriales; Clostridiaceae.